RNAcentral lists this transfer-messenger RNA (361 nucleotides) under Alysiella sp. It matches the Rfam family "transfer-messenger RNA". Rfam says of the family: Bacterial tmRNA, also known as 10Sa RNA or SsrA, is named for its dual tRNA and mRNA-like properties. Lineage: Bacteria; Pseudomonadati; Pseudomonadota; Betaproteobacteria; Neisseriales; Neisseriaceae. The record is from RNAcentral.
GGGGGCGACCUUGGUUUCGACGGGGGUUGCAAAGCAAAUGUGGGCAUACCGCGUUUUCAGUUACGCGUAAAACACUGUACGAAAAUAGUCGCAAACGACGAAACUUACGCUUUGGCAGCUUAAUGCCAGCCGUUGCAGCAGUUGGUCAAUGGGCUGUGUGGGGCAACCCACUGCAACGUCAUUUACAUUGACUGGUUUUCUGUCGGGUUACUUGGCAGGAAAUGAGAUUGUAGGUAACUGGUUUCCAAACAGCCUGUCUGUCGGCGGAAUGGGAAUGAGACAAUAAGUAGAUAAGACUAAGUAUGUAGAACACUUUGUAGAGGACUUUCGGACGGGGGUUCAAUUCCCCCCGCCUCCACCA